RNAcentral lists this ribosomal RNA (454 nucleotides) under uncultured Prevotella sp. RNAcentral describes it as "partial 16S ribosomal RNA". It matches the Rfam family "Bacterial small subunit ribosomal RNA", at positions 341 to 792 of the family's 1533-position model. Lineage: Bacteria; Pseudomonadati; Bacteroidota; Bacteroidia; Bacteroidales; Prevotellaceae. The record is from RNAcentral.
ACGGAAGGCAGCAGUGAGGAAUAUUGGUCAAUGGACGAGAGUCUGAACCAGCCAAGUAGCGUGCAGGAUGACGGCCCUAUGGGUUGUAAACUGCUUUUGUACGGGAAUAAAGUGACCUACGUGUAGGUUUUUGCAUGUACCGUAAGAAUAAGGAUCGGCUAACUCCGUGCCAGCAGCCGCGGUAAUACGGAAGGUCCGGGCGUUAUCCGGAUUUAUUGGGUUUAAAGGGAGCGUAGGCCGUGCUUUAAGCGUGUUGUGAAAUGUAGGCGCCCAACGUCUGCACUGCAGCGCGAACUGGAGCACUUGAGUACGCAGGAAGUAGGCGGAAUUCGUCGUGUAGCGGUGAAAUGCUUAGAUAUGACGAAGAACUCCGAUUGCGAAGGCAUCUCACGAAUCCGUCAUUGACGCUGAGGCACGAAAGUGUGGGGAUCAAACAGGAUUAGAUACCCUGGUA